RNAcentral lists this ribosomal RNA (52 nucleotides) under Bacteroidales bacterium. Its description in RNAcentral is "partial 23S ribosomal RNA". Lineage: Bacteria; Pseudomonadati; Bacteroidota; Bacteroidia; Bacteroidales. The record is from RNAcentral.
AAAAGUUACAAAGGGCGAAUGGAGGAUGCCUGGGCUUCUAUCGGCGAAGAAG